Physcomitrium patens is the source of this 2400-nucleotide long non-coding RNA. RefSeq lists it as uncharacterized. NCBI's taxonomy places the organism in Eukaryota, Viridiplantae, Streptophyta, Bryopsida, Funariales, Funariaceae. The record is from RefSeq and is a predicted model, not a curated record.
AAUAAUCGACGAACCUGAGUUGGAAUCGACAAAGCAAGUGAGGGUGAAUCUUUGGAAUAUUUUGAUGAAUGAAUGCACAAGCUCAUGCUGCAAAGCGCAAAAUACGUUUUUGUUGUGGUGUUUGUGAGUCUUCCUGAAUAGCGGAAAGAGAUUCAUCAACCAUAAAGUUGAAAGGACAAGGGAGAAGCUAGAAAACCAACUACGUACUCGCACAGAGCUUUGGGUUUCCACCACAUCACAGCGCUUUCAGUCAUCGUGUGGAAAUCUACACCCACGGUUCCUGUUCGUGAAAGAGAGGAGAAUGGAUCCGCUUUAUUUCCUCUUCUUUAAUCCAAGAGCACAGGAAUUGGCGAAAAGCAGGACCCACUUCCGGAACAUGAAUGGACUCUCCAACGACUUGAACCAAAACUGCUGGAUCUAUAUCCUCAAACAGACACCUGAUGAGGAACUUUGCGGAUGUCCUCAAGAUAGCGUGAAUUUGCUAAGAAAAGUUCGGUUUAACUUCCAUGUAAGGAAUGUCUCCCAAGGUUACUGUUCCUACAUGUAGAAGCCUUGAAGCUUUGGCUUUCGUCACUUUUAAUAUUGUGGACGGACGAUAAGUAGAGCAAAUACAGAGCUCGGAUUUUAGCAAACACCGCUGUAGAUUCGGAUAUUCGAGAGUUUCGUAGAAGCAGACAGGAAAGAUAGAGGGAAGUUGUUAGUUUGUUAUUGACCCGCUAGGUGGGAGUGCGCUAUUUGUCCAGGUUGCUGUACUCCCGAGCAUGGGCACGAUGCUGCCGUCGAUUGAAUGGAAUUACAAUGCUUGAGUACGUGCCGUUACAGUAUGACCCACACUGUUCCUGUGAUCUGGAAGCACCGUGCAGUUGGGUUCGGCUUCUAGAAUGUAUCCUCCUUAACGACUAGUAGCAAACAGGAAAUCUGUGUCGAAGCCAUCGCAAGUCGCAGGUGCGAAAUCGGUGGUUUUCUCAGGUUUCCGAGCUGCCAGCCAUCCUAGAAAUAAGCCAAAUUAAUCGCUUUCUGUAAUCGUUUCCGAUAACUCUCAUCUCUUUAAUGGCAGGUUUGAAUUGGGAUACCGUUGCGGUUGCUGCACGACAUGCCAAAUAAACCUUCCUGAUGUGUAGUGAAUAGAAAACGAGAUCGGAUGUUUCGGACCUGCUUGAAGGCUUGCUGCCCUUUAAUUAAAGAUUCCUGAUAACCCCCCAUUCUGAUGUUGCUUGGAUGCACCAGAUAAUCAUGGCACCAAGGCACGUCAAUGACCAAAAAAAUCAGGAGUCGAUGCGGUGCUCCGUUUGCCCUGUGUGCCAAGCCCACAUCAGUUUAUGUAUCGCGAAGUUCAUAAGUUGGUGGUAGAUUUUGUGUGCCCCUGCUUAGAUUGUUGACUUGGUCACCUAAUCUCACCACCGGUGUCUGUCUGUCUGUCUGUGCCGUGUACGUUUUACAGGACUUCCGUGGCAACCGCGGCGUUCUUAUCACUGGUCGAUGUUACGGUCUAACAGGGGUUUUCGAUCCAUUGAUUACGUGUGUUGGGCUGAUGUGUCGCCAUUAUCCAGCAAAGUCCUGGGGUUUAACUCUCACGAGUGACUUUAAAUGAAACUGUAAGUCAAUAUUUUAAGAGUCAAAUUCUGAGAAACACAUGGACUCCGCCGCAAUCCCUCCCUAUGAUGGGCUACUUCCUGAAAUCAUGGUAGCACAUGCUAAUAGCCUUAUGAAUAUUUAUCAAUAACCCGCCCCACGCCCAAGCUCGUUUUCUCAAAUCUUCCUGAAACAUCGGCCUUUGUCAGUGUAUGAAUUUCAGACUUAUGCCCUUGUGAAGGAGGCACUGCAACUCACUCCGCCGUCAUUUUGUGUCGAAUACUGCGUGAGAUACAUGGGUCUUCGUUGGUGCACUAGCAACGCUGGAACCCGUGACUGAAUUCGGCAGGUCUUCGUUAGACCAUUCUAGGUUUCAGAAUCAAAAUGUUUGCGUACCUUCUCGACUCCGUGAUGGGCCUUCGGUAACCGCCUGAAAGGAGAGUUGAGUGCACCAGCUUUAGGAGGCAGUUGCAGGCGGCUUCCAGCCAGCAAAACCUCCACAAACAAUGCUGUAGCUCCAGCGGUGCACAAUCUCUAUCGGUGACAAUCUGUGCAAGGCCACAAAAUCAAUCUACACAAGCAUGUAUCGAUUGAGGUUUACACAGCAGAUCUUGCAGAAAUGUUUUUGGGAAUAUGUUUAUUAUCGUCUGUGUAGAUACUUUCUAAAAUUCCCCUCCUGAGAAGUAAAAUAAGUCCAGCUAAGAGAAUCAAGAGUCACAUCAGUCAAAUUAUUUAUAUCACCUUCAUGUUCAUGACAAAAUCAAGAUCAUAUCAAACCCAUUGUCAUACAUUAAAUGAGAAUUUAAGUCCACAAGCUCCUUCACAUUA